RNAcentral lists this unclassified non-coding RNA (245 nucleotides) under plant metagenome. RNAcentral's name for it is "partial contains small subunit ribosomal RNA, internal transcribed spacer 1, and 5.8S ribosomal RNA". The record is from RNAcentral.
UCUCCGUUGGUGAACCAGCGGAGGGAUCAUUACCGAGUUUACAACUCCCAAACCCAAUGUGAACGUUACCAAACUGUUGCCUCGGCGGGGUCACGCCCCGGGUGCGUCGCAGCCCCGGAACCAGGCGCCCGCCGGAGGAACCAACCAAACUCUUUCUGUAGUCCCCUCGCGGACGUUAUUUCUUACAGCUCUGAGCAAAAAUUCAAAAUGAAUCAAAACUUUCAAUAACGGAUCUCUUGGUUCUG